CAAUUCGAAUGGUUGUAUGGAGAAGAAGGUGGGGUGCCCACUAAAUUUGCAUUUUAAUGUCAUUCACUUCUCUCAACACAAGGCGCGAAAUGCGUGUCUCUUUUCUUUUCUUUAUGAGGUGCACGAUAGGGGGAUAUGGAAGGAGAGAGA
Molecule: non-coding RNA, 150 nt
Organism: Caenorhabditis elegans
Lineage: Eukaryota; Metazoa; Nematoda; Chromadorea; Rhabditida; Rhabditidae
Source: Ensembl